This 404-nucleotide ribosomal RNA is filed under the name Escherichia coli. RNAcentral describes it as "partial 23S ribosomal RNA". It matches the Rfam family "Bacterial large subunit ribosomal RNA", at positions 2237 to 2640 of the family's 2925-position model. The record is from RNAcentral. Lineage: Bacteria; Pseudomonadati; Pseudomonadota; Gammaproteobacteria; Enterobacterales; Enterobacteriaceae.
GAUCCGGGUUGCGGACAGUGUCUGGUGGGUAGUUUGACUGGGGCGGUCUCCUCCUAAAGAGUAACGGAGGAGCACGAAGGUUGGCUAAUCCUGGUCGGACAUCAGGAGGUUAGUGCAAUGGCAUAAGCCAGCUUGACUGCGAGCGUGACGGCGCGAGCAGGUGCGAAAGCAGGUCAUAGUGAUCCGGUGGUUCUGAAUGGAAGGGCCAUCGCUCAACGGAUAAAAGGUACUCCGGGGAUAACAGGCUGAUACCGCCCAAGAGUUCAUAUCGACGGCGGUGUUUGGCACCUCGAUGUCGGCUCAUCACAUCCUGGGGCUGAAGUAGGUCCCAAGGGUAUGGCUGUUCGCCAUUUAAAGUGGUACGCGAGCUGGGUUUAGAACGUCGUGAGACAGUUCGGUCCCUA